This 1500-nucleotide long non-coding RNA is filed under the name Monodelphis domestica (gray short-tailed opossum). RNAcentral's name for it is "lncRNA (ENSMODG00000041891.1)". The record is from RNAcentral. Lineage: Eukaryota; Metazoa; Chordata; Mammalia; Didelphimorphia; Didelphidae.
CUCUUAGUAUUAUUAUUAAACUAGUUUUGACAUCUUAGGGCCCUUGAAAAAGUCACAGGGAACAGUCAGGAUCCUAAACGAGAUUCUUUAGCCAAACUCAUCUUUGUGGUGCCCCUUACACAUGGUGCUCCAUAUCAGGGUUUUGCACAGGCAGUCCUCCAUGCUUGGAAUGAAUUCUGUACUCACUUUCACCUCAGAGAAUUCAUUAUUUUCUCCAAGUCCCAGAUCAAGUAUAACCUCUACAUGUAGUCUUUUCUGAUUCCCCCAACUGCUAGUACCCUCCCUCCUAAAAAUGAUCAUACAUUUGUUUUAUAUUCAUAUGAUAUCGAUUGGCCAUGUACACUAUAAUGUUACCCAUUUCUCACACAGAACUUGCAUGCAAAGACUUUAUUGACUUGCUCACUCAUUCCAACCUGCUCUCAUAUUGGUUGAUCCAGAGUCCCAGAGAAGGAGAACAAGCAGGAUUGUGCUCAAACAUUCUUAGGGCUGCCAUGAGAUAAGGAAACUGAAGAUGAGAAAUGUAAAGGGGUUUGCUCAGCUACUGUCUGGAGUAGGAUUCAAAUUCAAAUCCUCCUGUCCAAGUUUAUCAUUCUGGCCAUCACAUCACUUAUAAAAACCAGAGAAAAGAGGAUUACCAGAGUUAGACCAUGUGAAAAUUUUUGGUCCUCUACAGUAUAAGGCCCCAAGAAGUGCAAAACAAUCAUGAUUCAAGUUGGAUUAAAAGAUAGUUAUUCAUACAAUUAUAAUUCAGUGUUGAAGGUUUGCAGCAAUUAUAAAUAUUUCAUUUUAUCCUCACACCAAUCCUCAAAUGUAGCACUGUUAUUAUCCUUAUUUUACAGAUGAGAAACCUGAGGCAGACAACAGUUAAAUGACUUAGCAAGAGUUGCUCUGCUAAUAAGUAAUUGAGACUGGAUUUAAAUUUAGCUCUUCCUAAUUCCAAGGCUAGUGCUCUAUCCAUUGGGCCAAUGAAUUGCAAAAGUUUUAUGAAAGGGGGUGGGUGGUGGUGAUGGUGAUGAGGAAAGUUAGCAUUUAUGUAACACCAACUAUUUGCAAGCAUAUAUGUGUCACUGGAUGAACAUAAGUGAAAGUGGUCUCCCUCUAGAAGGAGCCUAUGAAGUGGCUAAGAUUGAAUCAGAAGUCCCCUUAUGUGCAAUACCAUCAGCAUGGAAAGAACUGGCUUGGCAGUGGAUAGGGCAUGACACUUGAAAUCAGGAAGACCCGAGUUUGAAUUCUGCUUAAGCCACUGAAUGUCUAGGUGAAGCUCUCCUUCCCACCUUCCCCUGUCCAACAAUUAUCUUCUUGGGAGCAUAACGGGAGGCUUCUACCUCCAUACUACUAGUUCUCGAAUUUGCUAAGUCUAACUGGUUCGCUGAUUUUAUACAGGUCCCAAAAGGUUUAACCAAAACUCUCAACUGACCUGAACAGACCAACUCUGAAAUAUGAUUCUAGUCCAUCCAGUCAAAGACAUCUAUAUUCUCAGUCUUUUCCUAUUAAGUCUAA